GAAUGUGAGGGUGAUCUGGCUGUGACAGCUGUCAGCCCAUCGAUCCCCAGGUUUAUUCAGCUGAUCUGGCUGGCUAGGAGGGUGUCCCCUUCUUCCCUCCCUGCUCAUCCGUGUCCCUCCUAAAGCUGCACACUUGGUUGAAGAGGAUGACCAUCCCCGAUAAAGGAGGACUGUUUUCAGUCAAGGGCGUGCAAGUAGCCAUGUUCCCUGCUAGAGCCUCCAAACAAGCUCUCAAGAUCCAUUUCCAUCAUUUCAAUGAGGUGUUGUGGUUUUGUUUUUUUUUUAAUUUUUGUCUGUUUUUAUUAUGGAAACAUUUCAA
Molecule: unclassified non-coding RNA, 319 nt
Organism: Tupaia belangeri (northern tree shrew)
Lineage: Eukaryota; Metazoa; Chordata; Mammalia; Scandentia; Tupaiidae
Gene: 7SK
Rfam family: 7SK RNA
About the family: 7SK was discovered as an abundant small nuclear RNA in the mid-70s but a possible function has only recently been suggested. Two independent studies have found that 7SK RNA binds the CDK9/cyclin T complex (known as elongation factor P-TEFb).
Source: Ensembl